GGGGGGGCCCGGCCGUGGAAGAUGGCGGAAGCUGGGGAUUUUUGGUAGAUUCUAAUUUAGGACAAGAUGAAGUUCUUCUGAAAACUGUUAUCUACUGUAAUUGUUAGAAGUUAUUGAACUUAUGAAACUAUGGCAGAGAGAGAGACGGCAUCAUCUGUGCCCCCAAAGUGUGGGCCGUAUAUUUCUUCUGUCACUAGUCGAAGUAUGAACUUGGUGAUUCGUGGAGUAGUUCUGUUUUUGAUUGGAGUGUUUCUUGCAUUAGUAUUAAAUCUGCUUCAGAUUCAGAGAAAUGUCACACUUUUUCCACCUGAUGUGAUUGCAAGCAUCUUUUCUUCAGCAUGGUGGGUACCACCAUGCUGUGGCACAGCUUCAGCUGUGAUUGGGUUAUUAUACCCCUGCAUUGACAGGCAUCUGGGAGAGCCGCAUAAAUUUAAAAGAGAGUGGUCCAGUGUAAUGCGAUGUGUAGCAGUCUUUGUUGGUAUAAAUCAUGCCAGUGCUAAAGUAGAUUUUGACAACAAUAUACAGUUGUCUCUCACUCUAGCUGCACUAUCCAUUGGUCUGUGGUGGACUUUUGAUAGAUCACGAAGUGGUUUUGGCCUUGGAGUAGGAAUUGCUUUCUUGGCAACCUUGGUCACUCAACUACUAGUCUAUAAUGGGGUUUAUCAAUAUACGUCUCCAGAUUUUCUUUAUGUUCGUUCUUGGUUACCAUGCAUAUUUUUUGCUGGUGGCAUAACGAUGGGAAACAUUGGUCGACAACUAGCUAUGACUAAGCUAUUCCUUUAAAUCCUGUGGUGGGAGAUUCCUGCUGUGGAGAUUCCUACUGAGAGACUUCUGCUAAUGAAUUUGUUGACUCUCCAUUAAUAAGGAGAGCAUAAAUGUUUUUCUUCCUCUCUCCCACCCCAACACUAACUUCAGGUUAACGUGAUGUGGAAAUUUCAUGUUUGGAUUAAUUUCACAAAUGAACUGACGGAUACAAAUGACCUACUGAAAACUAUGGAAAUAGUAGUGUGUUAGUCAUAUUGGAUUUGAAGAUAUGUUUUUGUUCUUAGCCUGAGUUAUAUUUAAUCUCUUGAAGAAUAUGAAACAAUAUAAUUAGGCUAACAAAAACUGAAAAGAGCAGAACAUCCAUUGAAUUUUUUAAAAACUAGAUUUUGGGAUAAAAUAAGCUUUCAUAGUUGAAGCAACUGUGACUUUGCUCUAUGAGAGACAGCAGAUGAAAGAAAUUAAAUGGAAUGAAACUUGGCAGAGUUACUCUAAACAAUUUUAAUUAUAAUUUUUUGAAUGACUAAGGGAAUAUUAUUUUAAAAUUGCUGUAUAAAAUAGUAUUUUAUUACAUGCAUCAUUUCAUUCUGCUUUUCCCCUUGACAUCACCAUGAAAUUUGUACUGGUUGUUUUGUUAGGGCUUGUAAACACAUAUCAGCAUAUUUUUGACAUCCUCUCAAUGCUAGAUAACAUCUUUGGAGGAAGUCAUAUCUGAACCUUUAGAAAGAAAAUAUGAAAAUAGAUGAUUGCAAGCCAAUGUCAAUGAUCAAAGGUACACAAGUAGAGAAAGAAAUCUUGGUGAGAAUGCCACUUGGGCAAAACUAUAGAUGAAGACAGACAUUUUUGAGGUGAUGAAAGAAAGUAGGAAGUAAGUUCAUUUAAGAGUAUAUGUAUGCUACAAUUGGAAGAGAAAGAGGAAAGAACAUAAGCUCAUAGAAUCAUAGAUUUAUAGCUAGAAAGGACCUUAGAGGCAUUCAGUUCAACCCUUUGUUUUACACAUAAAGUAACUGAAGAUGAGAGAGAUUAAGUGACUUGAUCAUGGUUACACAGUCUGUAAGUAUCUGAGGCAAAAUUUGAACUCAGGUCUUCUGACUCCCAAGCCCAGGACUCUAAUCACAAGGGAUUGUAGGGAACAGAAAGAAGCAUGGUAUGUGAUAUAGAAUUUAAAAGAGAUGAAUAAAAGCAGCAACUAAACCUGAGGUUAAAAUGAAAUUAUAACAGACUUACCCAAUGCAUUUUGUGACUUUCUUCAGUAGGAUUGCAAAAGAUAAUGAGAGUCACCCAGUUUGAAAGCUGGCCCAGUAGAAAUGAUGAAAUGUUAAGGGGAAGGGAUUCAAAGAUCAAUGAAUGACUGACAUAGUUGACCAUGAUUUCAGAACUGUGUAAAAAACCCAGAAAAGUGGGGAUGAACUUGGAGAAUAAUAGGUGAGGGUUAUUCACCUGAGGUCCUGCGCUCAAGGCCGAAGUAAGGGAAUGGGAAAGAUACACAAGGAUAGAAUUAUGGUAGAAUGAAGAAUUUCAGAAUAAAAGAAUUUGAGUAUUAUGACAGAAAAUUGUUAAUACCAAGUGUAAUAUGUACUGCUACUCCCUAAAAUGAUCCUUGUUAAAUCAGAAUUUCAGUAAUAUCCUUACAUUCCUGCUCUUAAGAUAUUUACUCCUGAUUAAGUUGAGCCAAAUCAUACCUGCUAUAUUUCUCCCUGCUUCUUAACCUUCCCACCCAUCCCCCACCAUUCACCCCCUGUGGGGAUCCCAGCUCAGCUGGAUUUCAGUUCCUGAUAUUCUUUUCAUUUUCUAUUGGGAUUCAUGACAUGAAGUGCAAAACAGCCAGAAUGAAAUGUCUUUCCUUGUUCCAAUUACCAAGGCCACUGAGAUCUCAUGACCAGAACUUGCUACCUCACCUUUCACCUCACCUUCUCCUAAAAGUAUAAAAAGUUUUUUAUGGAUUUCUUUGGUUGGGAAAUACACUGGACAUCCCUGGGAGAGGGGGUGAGAUAGCAGGUCAGUACUUUGUUAUCUCAAUUAAGGACAUUUUAUUCCUCAACUUAUAGCUUUGAUUUAUUUCAGAAUUUGGCAAUUCCUAAAACACAGUUCUGACCCUUCUGCUUCUUCCUCUCCAUUAAAAAAGUUCCUUAUUCCUAGGGUCAAAUAUAAAUUACUCUGUUUGCCAUUUAGAUUUCUUUCCUAAAUUGGUUUGGACGUAGUAGUUUUGUGUGGUGGUGAAUUCCAUUCUCACAUCCUCUUCAGGUAUACUCUCAAGCAGAAAUCUGAAACAGAAAGGAGAGACAUUCAUUACUUCUUAAGAUUCUUACUGGUUUUAAUUUUUGAAGUUUUUUAGGCUUAGUCUAAUGUUCUAAGUAAAAUUAUAAAAUGAUAUAAAUUUGUAAAGCCCUUUGUAAACUUUAAAGUGCUAUAUACAUAUUUUCAGUCUCAAACUUAUCACUAAACUUCUAAUGGCAGCAAUGGCUUCAAUUACUUCUUAAGUACUCUUUGCUAUGUUCUACACACUGUACUUAAGCUCUGGAGAUACAAACAAAAAGAGAGAUAGACCCAAUUCUCAGCGAUGUUAGAUUCUAAUAAAAGACAAUACACAAAAGGGAAUUGAAAAGCAGGUGGUGGGGGAGGGAGCAGAGAGGGAAAAAAUUACUUGCAUGGGGUCGGGCAAAGUCCAAAUGAUCUAAAAGUAGGCAGGAAGAAUAAUAAUAAAUGCAUUGGGUUGUCCUUAAUAUGAAAUCCUUUGGAGGAACUCUCCAAUGGGAAAAGUGGGCCUGCCAAGGAAAAAGAUAUUCCAGGAUGAGAAGAUUCCAGGCACUGAGGUAAGCUUCCUUUUUUUUAAUAUAGCUUUUUAUA
This is an RNA transcript of Sarcophilus harrisii (Tasmanian devil), 3609 nucleotides long. It is a transcript of the gene named insulin induced gene 2, with no coding region annotated. Lineage: Eukaryota; Metazoa; Chordata; Mammalia; Dasyuromorphia; Dasyuridae. The record is from RefSeq and is a predicted model, not a curated record. The transcript is spliced from 7 exons.